CGCAGAGUCUCACAGUCAGACGCUGGAAGAUACUACUGUAAUGGAGAAACAGUGGAACUGACCGUAACAAAAAAUGUGCCCACUGUUGGCCAACCUCAGGAGCACACCUAUGACUCCAUUAACGACGCUGGAGCAGCUCCACAACCUGAGGUUCUACAUGUUAAGGGAAUAGAGGGAAACAUUGCCGUUCUUCGUUGUGGAAAACUCAGUAAAGGUAGCGUAACCUGGAGCAGAGAAAUUAACGGACAGAA
Molecule: long non-coding RNA, 251 nt
Filed under: Astyanax mexicanus (Mexican tetra)
Lineage: Eukaryota; Metazoa; Chordata; Actinopteri; Characiformes; Acestrorhamphidae
Description: lncRNA (ENSAMXG00005008746.1)
Source: RNAcentral